GUAUGCUGCUCAGAAUCAAACUGAGGGGAAACAAGACAAAGGCUACCCGACGGGUAUCGGUUUGAAGAACUCGUUUCUGUUGCUGUCAGUAAUCAACGCUGCUGGACUUUUCAUGACCUUCUUCGUCCCUGAAACAAAAGGACGCUCUUUAGAAGAACUGUCGGGGGAGAACAAUUCGGAUAAACAACAGGCUCCUUACAGCUCUUCAUACAUGGCGGAUAAACAAACGGGUUCUUACACCGAAUCAGGACGAUACUAGAUAAUAAAACUUCGACAAUUUUUAGUCACGUAGUAUCAACGUGUCUCUCUUGGUGAAAAAAUCCAGGACAGCAGCCGUGUUGGUUCGAUUUUCUUCCGUUAUCAUUCUUACAAAUUCUUUAGUAGAUGCCCUAGCUGUUGUUUAGCCAUAUUUUCAAAGCUGCACUGAUUGCGUUGGCGUCUCUACUUGUACAUAAUAUGUUUUCAACCAAAAAAACUAGUUUAGAGUGCACACACGGUGUGGAUGAAACUUUGCCUGUGAACCUCCUGUAAAUGCGGUGCCGUGUAUUGUUUGUUGCAACGAGAGCGUGAGAUUUUCUGAUGAAGAGUGCAAUCUAGUGGAAUGCUUCGGUCUCCGAUCACGGAUCUUGAGUUGGCCGCUGCCAAUGUGAUGUUAACUUGUAGGUUUGAAUCAAUAGUUGGAUGUAAAUUGACGAGCCUAAGAUAGUAUUCUUGAGACGCUGGUCUCAGACAAUACAAAUUUCAAUUAUGUAUCAAUCGAACAAAUGCAGUUUCCUUCAUGCACUCUGCAUUCGCUUUGAAGAAUCCUCGACCAUACCCAAUCGAACUUCUCCGAUUGGUGAAAGCUCAAACAACUCAAUCUAUGUAGAUUGCUCAAGAACAGACAUAGCCGGUGGCCAAAAUCGUUGAGAAAGUACCGUUCAGUCAUCUGCCUUCCAAAUAGAACUGGCAAUCAAAUAUCUACGCCGUUGUUGUAGCGAAGCCUGGUAAUUUGCACCUCACAAAAUUAGAUCUCUUGGGUACUUUGAUCACAGGUUUGACAUACUUUACAGCGGCAUAAUAUCAAGUUAGUUCUCACACUGACGACUCGUGGUUUCUCUAGGAACGACCUAAUGAGAGCAGGUUCGAGAGAUUGUGAACACACACCGCUUUGGCCGGGAAACUGCAGGUAGAGCGAUCCAUUCUCAGGUGGAGUUAAUUAUUCUUCUUUUAUUGCUGAAAUCGGGAACUUGGUCGCAUUGACGGUUAACUAAUGAAUUCGGUGAUAUUUCAUGAUUUUCGAGAAAACAUG
Molecule: long non-coding RNA, 1291 nt
Filed under: Physcomitrium patens
Lineage: Eukaryota; Viridiplantae; Streptophyta; Bryopsida; Funariales; Funariaceae
Description: long non-coding RNA (PPAT_LNC001508)
Source: RNAcentral